AACAAACGCUGGCGGCGUGCCUAACACAUGCAAGUCGUACGAGAAAGGGUCCUUCGGGACCUGAGUAAAGUGGCGCACGGGUGAGUAACGCGUGGAUAAUCUGCCCUUCAGUUGGGAAUAACUCAUCGAAAGGUGGGCUAAUACCGAAUGAUACUGCGAGACUUUGGUCGAGCAGUCAAAGAGAGCCUCUGCUUGCAAGCCCUCGCUGAAGGAUGAGUCCGCGUACCAUUAGCUAGUUGGUAGGGUAAUGGCCUACCAAGGCGACGAUGGUUAGCUGGUCUGAGAGGAUGAUCAGCCACACUGGAACUGAGACACGGUCCAGACUCCUACGGGAGGCAG
RNAcentral lists this ribosomal RNA (339 nucleotides) under uncultured Pseudomonadota bacterium. RNAcentral's name for it is "bacterial SSU rRNA". It matches the Rfam family "Bacterial small subunit ribosomal RNA", at positions 29 to 351 of the family's 1533-position model. The record is from RNAcentral. Lineage: Bacteria; Pseudomonadati; Pseudomonadota.